Molecule: long non-coding RNA, 220 nt
Organism: Coregonus clupeaformis (lake whitefish)
Lineage: Eukaryota; Metazoa; Chordata; Actinopteri; Salmoniformes; Salmonidae
Exons: 3
Source: RefSeq, a predicted model, not a curated record
AAAAAGACAAAUGAACCCAGACAAGCCCAGCGUACAGUGCCACAGCUUCCACCAGCCCCUAGUGUAACUUCAAGAGCCAGUGUCUUUGAAAAGACCCUACAACAAGUUGCAGAUGCAGAGGACUUGAGGCCAUGUGCCACCUCAAGCCAGAGCGACAGUAAGUGUCUGGUUGUAGUUUUAGGGUAAACAAUUAGUUUUAGGGUAAACAUUUAAUUGUAUG